Molecule: ribosomal RNA, 497 nt
Filed under: uncultured bacterium
Lineage: Bacteria
Description: partial 16S ribosomal RNA
Rfam family: Bacterial small subunit ribosomal RNA
Source: RNAcentral
GAUGAACGCUGGCGGCGUGCCUAAUACAUGCAAGUCGAGCGAACAGACGAGGAGCUUGCUCCUCUGACGUUAGCGGCGGACGGGUGAGUAACACAUGGAUAACCUACCUAUAAGACUGGGAUAACUUCGGGAAACCGGAGCUAAUACCGGAUAAUAUAUUGAACCGCAUGGUUCAAUAGUGAAAGACGGUUUUGCUGUCACUUAUAGAUGGAUCCGCGGCGCAUUAGCUAGUUGGUAAGGUAACGGCUUACCAAGGCAACGAUGCGUAGCCGACCUGAGAGGGUGAUCGGCCACACUGGAACUGAGACACGGUCCAGACUCCUACGGGAGGCAGCAGUAGGGAAUCUUCCGCAAUGGGCGAAAGCCUGACGGAGCAACGCCGCGUGAGUGAUGAAGGUCUUCGGAUCGUAAAACUCUGUUAUUAGGGAAGAACAAAUGUGUAAGUAACUAUGCACGUCUUGACGGUACCUAAUCAGAAAGCCACGGCUAACUACGUG